RNAcentral lists this unclassified non-coding RNA (326 nucleotides) under Hevea brasiliensis (rubber tree). The record is from RNAcentral. Lineage: Eukaryota; Viridiplantae; Streptophyta; Magnoliopsida; Malpighiales; Euphorbiaceae.
GACAAUAGUUAUAAUUUAAUUAAUCAUAGAAAAACUAAGAGUCAGUUAUGACUUAUAAACUAUAUAAACUAAUAUCAAAUAUCAAAAAUCAAACUAGCCACUCCCUAAUGCAAAUAGAAGAUAAAUUGUCCAACCAAGAUUUUCUCUCAAACUUACCAAAUGAUAUUUUAGUAACUAAGGCAUUGUAAGAAGAUGAAUAACAAUUUGCAAAAAUAUCAUUAAGGUAAUCUUCAUAUUAUAAGAAUUUAUUUAUACCAAUUUGUUGGCAUCUUAUUUUUUAUUAUUUAUAUUCAUUUUUCAAUUUAUAUUUAUUCUUUGUAUUUAUU